RNAcentral lists this ribosomal RNA (465 nucleotides) under Vreelandella stevensii. RNAcentral's name for it is "partial 16S ribosomal RNA". It matches the Rfam family "Bacterial small subunit ribosomal RNA", at positions 338 to 795 of the family's 1533-position model. Lineage: Bacteria; Pseudomonadati; Pseudomonadota; Gammaproteobacteria; Oceanospirillales; Halomonadaceae. The record is from RNAcentral.
CCUACGGGUGGCAGCAGUGGGGAAUAUUGGACAAUGGGGGGAACCCUGAUCCAGCCAUGCCGCGUGUGUGAAGAAGGCCCUCGGGUUGUAAAGCACUUUCAGUGAGGAAGAACGCCUGGUGGUUAAUACCCAUCAGGAAAGACAUCACUCACAGAAGAAGCACCGGCUAACUCCGUGCCAGCAGCCGCGGUAAUACGGAGGGUGCGAGCGUUAAUCGGAAUAACUGGGCGUAAAGCGCGCGUAGGUGGCUUGAUAAGCCGGUUGUGAAAGCCCCGGGCUCAACCUGGGAACGGCAUCCGGAACUGUCAAGCUAGAGUGCAGGAGAGGAAGGUAGAAUUCCCGGUGUAGCGGUGAAAUGCGUAGAGAUCGGGAGGAAUACCAGUGGCGAAGGCGGCCUUCUGGACUGACACUGACACUGAGGUGCGAAAGCGUGGGUAGCAAACAGGAUUAGAUACCCGAGUAGUC